CGGAGGGUGCAAGCGUUAAUCGGAAUUACUGGGCGUAAAGCGCACGCAGGUGGCUGAGUCAGUCGAUUGUGAAAGCCCUGGGCUUAACCUGGGAAUUGCAGUCGAUACUACUCAGCUAGAGUAUGGGAGAGGGUAGUGGAACUCCCGGUGUAGCGGUGAAAUGCGUAGAUAUCGGGAGGAACAUCAGUGGCGAAGGCGGCUACCUGGCCCAAUACUGACACUCAGGUGCGACAGCGUGGGGAGCAAACAGGAUUAGACACCCCGGUAGUCCACGCCGUAAACGAUGAGAACUAGAUGUCGGGGGGGAUUAGCCCCUCGGUGUCGUAGCUAACGCGCUAAGUUCUCCGCCUGGGGAGUACGGCCGCAAGGUUG
Molecule: ribosomal RNA, 372 nt
Filed under: uncultured organism
Description: bacterial SSU rRNA
Rfam family: Bacterial small subunit ribosomal RNA
Source: RNAcentral